AUACGUAGGUGGCGAGCGUUAUCCGGAAUCAUUGGGCGUAAAGAGGGAGCAGGCGGUGAUAAAGGUCUGGAGGUGAAGGCCCGAAGCUAAACUUCGGGAUGCCCCGGAAACCGGGUCACUUGAGUGCGGAAGUGGAUCGUGGAAUUCCAUGUGUAGCGGUGAAAUGCGUAGAUAUAUGGAGGAACACCGGUGGCGAAGGCGACGGUCUGGGCCGAAACUGACGCUCAUUCCCGAAAGCGUGGGGAGCAAAUAGGAUUAGAUACCCUAGUAGUCCACGCCGUAAACGAUCGAUACUAAGUGUCGGGCUUCAAGGCCCGGUGCUGCAGCCAACACAUUAAGUAUCGCGCCUGAGUAGUACGUUCGCAAGAAUGAAACUCAAAUGAAUUGGCGGGG
Molecule: ribosomal RNA, 393 nt
Filed under: uncultured bacterium
Lineage: Bacteria
Description: partial 16S ribosomal RNA
Rfam family: Bacterial small subunit ribosomal RNA
Source: RNAcentral